This 450-nucleotide ribosomal RNA is filed under the name uncultured bacterium. RNAcentral's name for it is "bacterial SSU rRNA". It matches the Rfam family "Bacterial small subunit ribosomal RNA", at positions 354 to 796 of the family's 1533-position model. The record is from RNAcentral.
GUGGGGAAUUUUGGACAAUGGGCGCAAGCCUGAUCCAGCCAUGCCGCGUGCAGGAUGAAGGCCUUCGGGUUGUAAACUGCUUUUGUACGGAACGAAAAGACUCUUUCUAAUAAAGAGGGUCCAUGACGGUACCGUAAGAAUAAGCACCGGCUAACUACGUGCCAGCAGCCGCGGUAAUACGUAGGGUGCGAGCGGUAAUCGGAAUUACUGGGCGUAAAGCGUGCGCAGGCGGUGAUGUAAGACAGAUGUGAAAUCCCCGGGCUCAACCUGGGAACUGCAUUUGUGACUGCAUCGCUGGAGUGCGGCAGAGGGGGAUGGAAUUCCGCGUGUAGCAGUGAAAUGCGUAGAUAUGCGGAGGAACACCGAUGGCGAAGGCAAUCCCCUGGGCCUGCACUGACGCUCAUGCACGAAAGCGUGGGGAGCAAACAGGAUUAGAUACCCCUGUAGUCC